AUUGAACGCUGGCGGCGUGCUUAACACAUGCAAGUCGUGCGGUAACAGGCGUAGCAAUACGUGCUGACGAGCGGCGAACGGGUGCGUAAUACAUGGGAAUCUGCCCUUUGGUGGGGAAUAACCCGGCGAAAGCCGGGCUAAUGCCGCAUAAGAUCUUCGGAUGAAAGCGGGGGAUCGUAAGACCUCGCGCCGAUGGAUGAGCCCAUGUCGGAUUAGCUAGUUGGNGAGGUAACGGCUCACCAAGGCGACGAUCCGUAGCUGGUCUGAGAGGACGGCCAGCCACACUGGGACUGAGACACGGCCCAGACUCCUACGGGAGGCAGCAGUGGGGAAUAUUGGACAAUGGGCGAAAGCCUGAUCCAGCGACGCCGCGUGUGUGAAGAA
This 384-nucleotide ribosomal RNA is filed under the name uncultured bacterium. Its description in RNAcentral is "bacterial SSU rRNA". It matches the Rfam family "Bacterial small subunit ribosomal RNA", at positions 29 to 412 of the family's 1533-position model. The record is from RNAcentral.